UGGGGAAUUUUGGACAAUGGGGGAAACCCUGAUCCAGCCAUGCCGCGUGAGUGAAGAAGGCCUUCGGGUUGUAAAGCUCUUUUGGUCGGAAAGAAGGGGUUCUGGUGAAUAACUGGGAUCUUUGACGGUACCGGCAGAAUAAGCACCGGCUAACUACGUGCCAGCAGCCGCGGUAAUACGUAGGGUGCGAGCGUUAAUCGGAAUUACUGGGCGUAAAGAGUGCGUAGGCGGUUUCUCAAGUCCGCUGUGAAAUCCCCGGGCUCAACCUGGGAAUGGCAGUGGAAACUAGGAGACUUGAAUCUGGCAGAGGGGGGUGGAAUUCCACGUGUAGCAGUGAAAUGCGUAGAGAUGUGGAGGAACACCGAUGGCGAAGGCAGCCCCCUGGGCUGAGAUUGACGCUCAGGCACGAAAGCGUGGGGAGCAAACAG
This 428-nucleotide ribosomal RNA is filed under the name uncultured bacterium. RNAcentral describes it as "bacterial SSU rRNA". It matches the Rfam family "Bacterial small subunit ribosomal RNA", at positions 355 to 775 of the family's 1533-position model. The record is from RNAcentral.